UGAGCCAAGUUUAGGGUUUUCUCAAAACCCAAGCAGUAUUGAACUGAAGAGUUUGAUCAUGGCUCAGAUUGAACGCUGGCGGCAGGCCUAACACAUGCAAGUCGAGCGGAUGAAGGGAGCUUGCUCCUGGAUUCAGCGGCGGACGGGUGAGUAAUGCCUAGGAAUCUGCCUGGUAGUGGGGGAUAACGUCCGGAAAC
This 197-nucleotide ribosomal RNA is filed under the name Pseudomonas aeruginosa. RNAcentral's name for it is "partial 16S ribosomal RNA". The stretch from base 41 to 197 matches the Rfam family "Bacterial small subunit ribosomal RNA", at positions 1 to 157 of the family's 1533-position model. The record is from RNAcentral. Lineage: Bacteria; Pseudomonadati; Pseudomonadota; Gammaproteobacteria; Pseudomonadales; Pseudomonadaceae.